GCAGUCGAGGGGUAGAAGUCUUCGGACUUUGAGACCGGCGCACGGGUGCGUAACGCGUAUGCAAUCUACCUUUUACAGAGGGAUAGCCCAGAGAAAUUUGGAUUAAUACCUCAUAGUAUAUAGACUCGGCAUCGAGAUUAUAUUAAAGUCACAACGGUAAAAGAUGAGCAUGCGUCCCAUUAGCUAGUUGGUAAGGUAACGGCUUACCAAGGCUACGAUGGGUAGGGGUCCUGAGAGGGAGAUCCCCCACACUGGUACUGAGACACGGACCAGACUCCUACGGGAGGCAGCAGUGAGGAAUAUUGGACAAUGGGCGCAAGCCUGAUCCAGCCAUGCCGCGUGCAGGAUGACGGUCCUAUGGAUUGUAAACUGCUUUUAUACGAGAAGAAACACUCCUUCGUGAAGGAAUUUGACGGUAUCGUAAGAAUAAGGAUCGGCUAACUCCGUGCCAGCAGCCGCGGUAAUACGGAGGAUCCAAGCGUUAUCCGGAAUCAUUGGGUUUAAAGGGUCCGUAGGCGGUUUGGUAAGUCAGUGGUGAAAGCCCAUCGCUCAACGGUGGAACGGCCAUUGAUACUGCCAGACUUGAAUUAUUAGGAAGUAACUAGAAUAUGUAGUGUAGCGGUGAAAUGCUUAGAGAUUACAUGGAAUACCAAUUGCGAAGGCAGGUUACUACUAAUGGAUUGACGCUGAUGGACGAAAGCGUGGGUAGCGAACAGGAUUAGAUACCCUGGUAGUCCACGCCGUAAACGAUGGAUACUAGCUGUUGGAAGCAAUUUCAGUGGCUAAGCGAAAGUGAUAAG
RNAcentral lists this ribosomal RNA (800 nucleotides) under Flavobacterium sp. Its description in RNAcentral is "bacterial SSU rRNA". It matches the Rfam family "Bacterial small subunit ribosomal RNA", at positions 57 to 864 of the family's 1533-position model. Lineage: Bacteria; Pseudomonadati; Bacteroidota; Flavobacteriia; Flavobacteriales; Flavobacteriaceae. The record is from RNAcentral.